GAUCCUGGCUCAGGAUGAACGCUAGCUACAGGCUUAACACAUGCAAGUCGAGGGGCAGCAUUGGAGUAGCAAUACUCAGAUGGCGACCGGCGCACGGGUGAGUAACACGUAUCCAACCUGCCGCUUACUCGGGGAUAGCCUUUCGAAAGAAAGAUUAAUACCCGAUGGUAUAAAGAGUUCGCAUGUUCUCUUUAUUAAAGAAUUUCGGUAAGCGAUGGGGAUGCGUUCCAUUAGAUAGUUGGCGGGGUAACGGCCCACCAAGUCUACGAUGGAUAGGGGUUCUGAGAGGAAGGUCCCCCACAUUGGAACUGAGACACGGUCCAAACUCCUACGGGAGGCAGCAGUGAGGAAUAUUGGUCAAUGGACGAGAGUCUGAACCAGCCAAGUAGCGUGAAGGAUGACUGCCCUAUGGGUUGUAAACUUCUUUUAUAAGGGAAUAAAGUGAGGGACGUGUCCCUUUUUGUAUGUACCUUAUGAAUAAGGAUCAGCUAACUCCGUGCCAGCAGCUGC
This 510-nucleotide ribosomal RNA is filed under the name uncultured bacterium. RNAcentral describes it as "bacterial SSU rRNA". It matches the Rfam family "Bacterial small subunit ribosomal RNA", at positions 15 to 518 of the family's 1533-position model. The record is from RNAcentral.